AUAACUCCCAUGAGGUGAAGGUUUUCUUUCCACUUAAACCAUGUCAUGGCUAAUCAAGAUUUUGGUUUUGCUCAUUGAAUCAAUUAAACACGUUCCAAUUAUUAAGGGAAUGCCAGAAUUAUUUGUGUGUAUGACAUACCCUAUCUUAUCCAGGAUGGAGAUUUAGGUUCUAUGAUAUACAUAUUAUACAUCUGAUAGAACUUGUCUGGCUGCCCGUGUCAACUGAGUUUAGCAUGUUUCCGAGCAAUGUUCCAGAACCUGAUAUAUACAUCCGUCAGCAGUUCCACUUCUUGAUGCCACGAGGCUGUGCUGGUGUGGUGAUCAGGCUACUGCUUAACCGAAUCGGUAUGUUUUGUCAGUCGCAACACCAGCUGUUGUGACCGCUGGUUUCAUACUGGAAGCUAAUAGUCGUUUCCACCAUAGAAAGAUUUAUCGAUUCAUGAUCAAAAUGAGUUCUGGAAUCUACAUAGUACACGAGAUGUUCAAAAUGAGUUCUGAAAGCUACAUAGUACACGGGAUGCACAUAGGGUUGGGUUAAUAAUAUUCAGGAAUAUAGUUAUGUUGAAGCCUCACUUCUUUGCUGACUGGGGACACGAAUGUCAUGCUGCAGUAUGUUCUUGUCCCUGCUACCAGAGGACAAGAUGGUUGAGUUCCAUGCUAAUACCCCAGCCCAUGUUUGGUGGCCUCCUAUGUUCCUUAUUCGUUUACAGUGAGAGCUAUCUCAGAUCUCCCAGAUUACACUUACAUGUUAUAUUCUUGAAACAGAAGAUUAUACCUACUUCAGGGUGUUUAUUGAAACUCUAAGCUAAUUCAAGUGGGAAAUGGUUUAAAUGAUCAGUAAAAAUUACUUCUUUGAGAUUUCUUCUUUGAGAUUUGUUUUCUGGGUAGGGCUGUACAAGAGUUAUCUGGUAUGUAUAGUUGCGUUCGUACUAGACAAGCCAGGUUAAUUAUUCUGUUGUUUUUUCCCAUUUGAUGGAUUCAUAUUGAAAAAAUCAAUGCCUCAUUUUAUUCAAUACUUAUAUGCAAAGUUAUUUUAGUUUCUUGAGGCACUCUUGAGGGGCAAGUUGAGCAGAAAUAGGGUCAAGGAAGACAGUUGGGGGUGAGCUGCAAGGUAAUUAUGGGGGUAUUUACAAGAUUUAUGUGUGAUCUCCACCUAUUAUUAAUUGUGGUUAUGGGUUCUCUUUCUACAUGGGUUAUUCUUGUGAUAGCUUUACGCAUUAUUUGCAUAGACACUAUAUAUUUUGAGGGCAAGACUAAGUUGAAAUCUUGCAGCUGCCACCAAUGGGUUAUUUUAAAUAUUAAUUCAGAGUUACUACUAUUGCAGCUCAUAUUUCCUAUAUUGUUUCUGAAAUGCACGUUCUCUCUACUAAUGGCAUGAUGUUUUCUAUCUCCAUGUGGCUAGCACCUUUCUCAAACGAUUAUUUAAGUGUAAAGUAAACAAUAUUAUAUUCAUUCUUAUUGUGUACUACUGUUUUUCUAAUUAAUGAACUGAUCGGCAAUACAUAUUUUGGAUUUUAUGUGAUAAAUCUCACAACGAUCUUAAACUGCGGCCAGUGGACAAAAUGCAUGGUACUGCUAUUUUAUACGGCUAUUCGGUUUUCCUGAAAUUUUUCAUAACCAAGGGUCAACAUAGACAUAAGAGUUCAUCAUAUUUCCAUGUUAUAGACAUAACAAAAUUCACCUUCAGCAUUAUUUUGGUAUUGACAUGCUGAAGAGUAUACCAUAGUUUGAUUAAAUGAAUUUUCACUGAAGAAAUAAGAACACUGUAAAUGAAUGUUUGUCAAAGAAAAAAAACAGUGAGUAAAUGAAUAUUUCCCUGCAAAGAAAUUAAUGAAUGUUUUUGGACCUAACAUGCCUAAUAAGUUUGUCUUGUAUCCUGAUUGAAGCAAUCGGGCUUUGGAUGUCACUAGGGAGAUAGACAAACAGAUAGGGAGUUUCUUAUUCGCCCCUUAAGAUUGAUAGCUGCUUCCUCAACAUUAUCUGCUUUGGGACUUCAACAUUUCUUAAGAUAUAGGAAUUUCUAUCUACCUCUCAAACAUAGACCUUAUACAUGCCAACAGACUCAAUUCUUAUUGCCACUCCUAAUCAGAUAACUAAGUCUGAAUGGAUACAAUGUAUAAUUUAGUGUUGACCGUAAACAAUGGCAGCUGCACUUCUAAUAUUGAAACUUUAGCCUUCUCAUACACAUUUUUGUAAUCUGGUAAAUCAACUGACAUAGUAAGAAAAAAUAAAUUAUAGACAGGGCGUAACUCCCUUGUGUUCCUGAUCAUCAAACCUGCAUACCUAGAGCGACUAGAUGAAAUAAGCUACCAGUUAGACUCACUGUAUUGCUACACACAAGGAUAUAUGUCAUUUAUUUCAUAUGGACCUCCUGCCUGAUUUUUUGAUGCAUGUGCAAAUGCAUUUGGCAGUCUCACUAGCCCCAACCUAGAGAAUUUGAGAUUUGGUGAAUCAGACAUAUCCAACUUUCUCAUCACUUGCAAGCUGUUGAAGGAUCUACAUUUGUUCAAUUGUGACUGAUAAUCUCAUCACAUUGAAAGUUGAGCAUGCUCAUCUCACUGAACUCAGUAUGGUUGGUUAUCUUUUUGAACAAGUUAAGCUAAACUGGCUCCCUCAACUCAUGCAAAUUGUUUUUGAUGAUUGGAUUGAUUUCCAAGAUCCACUGGAUCUUGGUCAUGUCCUAGCCAUUCCUCUAUACUAGAUCACAAAUGUCGCAUGUAGUUUUCACAAGAUGGCCAAGUUAGGUGAGUUUCCUAGCCCUACCUCUAUACUAGAUCUGAAGCUGGGAUUUAAAUCCAAAAAGGUUCAACAUUGUCGCUUUGCUAGCCAUGGCUCUAGCUCUUCUCUCAGUUCUCUGCUCAUUUCAUCAGCAUGUCUUUAUUCGUUGCAGAUUUGGGUGCAGCCAGAAUGUCCAAUAGAAAUUCUUGCAUCCUUCUACCAACUAUAUGGUUUGUCUAUUUGGUUGAUGUUCCUCAACGGUAUGAUCUCACCUUUACAAUGUUUAUUCUUGAAUCCGUAUCUUUCCUGAAGGAGCUCUACAUGAUAGCGUGUGAUUUACCUAGAGAUUUCUAUUUGCCACGUGGGCUUAAUGUUAGUGUCAUUUCCCCUUGACCAAUCGGACAUUUACUUUACUCUCUACUAGGUGCACUUCAGGAGCGUGUGUCAUGCACGAUGACAUUAGAUCAUCUGCAGCUUCCAAACUCGACAUUACAAAAGACCAGCGUACCGGUUGCUGAGAACCUGGCGGUGUUCCGAGCAAUCAAGUACAUGCAAUAUUUGCAAAAAAAACUAAAGGGAUGUCAGCUUUUGGUGAUGUAAGUAGCAGCUAUUAGGUGUUCAUUUUCUGUUCGGGUGUCGUGUCCUCUAAAUACAAUGCCCUUUCUUGAUUGGCCUACAUAUGAAGUUGGACGUCCGGGAACGCGCGGAUCGAGUUAGACGACCACAAGUCUUGAAAUACUUUCAGAGCUGGAGAUUGUGAUUUGAGUCGGUUACGUUUAGGUUGAAAGGCUUGAUAGUCAGCACGAAAUGUUUUUUGUUGGUUCAAGAACUAUUUAUGUGUGACAUUGAUCUACAUGUUUGUCAUGGAUUUGUUGUUGGCCACAUGGUUCAACAUUAUUAUUUGUCUAAUAUUUCAUCUUUA
Long non-coding RNA from Lolium perenne, 3640 nucleotides. RefSeq lists it as uncharacterized. The record is from RefSeq and is a predicted model, not a curated record. NCBI's taxonomy places the organism in Eukaryota, Viridiplantae, Streptophyta, Magnoliopsida, Poales, Poaceae.